This 872-nucleotide ribosomal RNA is filed under the name uncultured bacterium. RNAcentral's name for it is "bacterial SSU rRNA". It matches the Rfam family "Bacterial small subunit ribosomal RNA", at positions 28 to 896 of the family's 1533-position model. The record is from RNAcentral.
AAUGAACGCUGGCGGCGUGCCUUACACAUGCAAGUCGAGCGAGGCGCGGUAGCAAUACCGCAGUCGAGCGGCGAACGGGUGAGUAACACGUGGAUAACCUGCCCAGAGGUGGGGGAUAACCCGGGGAAACUCGGGCUAAUACCGCAUGAUACCGAAAGGUCAAAGGGGGCUCGCAAGGGCUCUCGCCAUUGGAGGGGUCCGCGUCCGAUUAGCUAGUUGGUAGGGUAAUGGCCUACCAAGGCGACGAUCGGUAGCCGGCCUGAGAGGGUGAUCGGCCACACUGGAACUGAGACACGGUCCAGACUCCUACGGGAGGCAGCAGUGGGGAAUUUUGCGCAAUGGGCUAACGCCUGACGCAGCAACGCCGCGUGGAGGAUGAAGGUCCUUGGAUUGUAAACUCCUGUCAGCAGGGAAAAAGCGACUCGGACUAAUAAUCCGGGGAGUUGAUUGUACCUGCAGAGGAAGCCCCGGCUAACUCUGUGCCAGCAGCCGCGGUAAUACAGAGGGGGCAAGCGUUAUUCGGAAUUAUUGGGCGUAAAGGGCGCGUAGGCGGCUUGGCAAGUGGAUGGUGAAAUCCCUCGGCUUAACCGAGGAACUGCCAUCCAGACUGCUUUGCUUGAGGCCGGGAGAGGUGAGUGGAAUUCCCAGUGUAGCGGUGAAAUGCGUAGAUAUUGGGAGGAACACCAGUGGCGAAGGCGGCUCACUGGACCGGUUCUGACGCUGAGGCGCGAAAGCGUGGGGAGCAAACGGGAUUAGAUACCCCGGUAGUCCACGCCGUAAACGAUGAGUGCUUGGUGUAGCGGGUAUCGACCCCUGCUGUGCCGAAGUCAACACAUUAAGCACUCCGCCUGGGGAGUACGGUCGCAAGGCUG